This 117-nucleotide small nuclear RNA is filed under the name Phaseolus vulgaris (common bean). RNAcentral's name for it is "snRNA U5". It matches the Rfam family "U5 spliceosomal RNA". Rfam says of the family: U5 RNA is a component of both types of known spliceosome. The precise function of this molecule is unknown, though it is known that the 5' loop is required for splice site selection and p220 binding, and that both the 3' stem-loop and the Sm site are important for Sm protein binding and cap methylation. The record is from Rfam by way of RNAcentral. Lineage: Eukaryota; Viridiplantae; Streptophyta; Magnoliopsida; Fabales; Fabaceae.
GAGCCGUGUGAUAAGUUCAAAGCGAACUAUUCUUUCGCCUUUUACUAAAGAAUACCGUGUACUUUUCACAAAUGCGGCAUAUGCAUAUUUUUUUAUAUGGAUCUUCAAUAGAUCCUG